This is an RNA transcript of Camelus dromedarius (Arabian camel), 3099 nucleotides long. It is a transcript of the gene named protein NipSnap homolog 3A, with no coding region annotated. Lineage: Eukaryota; Metazoa; Chordata; Mammalia; Artiodactyla; Camelidae. The transcript has 7 exons. The record is from RefSeq and is a predicted model, not a curated record.
GCGCCGGAGGCGGAGCCCAGCCCCGCCCCGAGCUUGCGUCUACCCCUGGUGUAGGCGCUGCUCCCUGCCAGUGGGAAAGCCACAGGAGGAGGAAUUUAAGGAAGAAUACCCGCCAGUUGCCCUCCUCAGCGCCCGGAGCCGCGCCAUGCUAGCCCUCCGAAGCAGCCUGACUAGAGCUGUGGCCGCGCGGACGCCGGCGCCUCAGGUGUGCUCAUCUUUUGCUACAGGCCCCAGACAAUACGAUGGAACAUUCUAUGAGUUUCGUACCUCUUAUCUUAAACCAUCAAAGAUGAAAGAGUUCCUGGAAAAUGUUAAGAAAAACAUUCAUCUUCGGACAGCUCACUCUGAAUUGGUUGGAUACUGGAGUGUAGAAUUUGGAGGCAGAAUGAAUAAAGUGUUUCAUAUUUGGAAGUAUGACAAUUUUGCUCAUCGAACUGAAGUUCGGAAAGCUUUAGCCAAAGAUAAGGAAUGGCAGGAACAAUUUCUCAUUCCAAAUUUGGCUCUUAUUGAUAAACAAGAGAGUGAAAUUACUUAUCUGGUGCCAUGGUGCAAAUUAGAAAAACCUCCAAAAGAAGGAGUCUAUGAACUGGCUACUUUUCAGAUGAAACCUGGUGGGCCAGCUCUGUGGGGUGACCCAUUUAAAAGGGCAGUUCAUACUCAUAUCAAUCAAGGCUACACAAAAUUAGUUGGAGUGUUCCAUGCAGAAUAUGGAAUACUCAACAGAGUUCACGUUCUUUGGUGGAACGAGAGUGCAGAUAGUCGUGCAGCUGGGAGACAUCGGUCUCACGAGGAUCCCAGAGUUGUGGCAGCUGUUCGGGAAAGUGUUAACUUCCUUGAAUCUCAGCAGAAUAUGCUUCUGAUUCCUGCAUCAUUUUCACCACUAAAAUAGUUUUCUGCUGGAAUACGAAGUAUUUCAUUAACUGCGAAGAGAUGUGUCUGCUAGUGGUGCUUAAAUUCUCCCAAGAAAUUCUUAUUUUUAUUUGAAGGAGGUGACCAGCUAGAACAUUUCCUGGGGAUACCCAGGGGCUGUCUCCUCCACCCAGUCCAGAGCCCCGUUGGAGAUUUAUAAAGCAGCAGCAGAGCAGAGUUCUUACCGACAAAAUUGGAGAGCCAGUAGAUGAUGGGGCUUCAUUCUGCUGAUGAACUGCAGGUGCUUCGCUUUGCUGAUUCUCUCCUGGAUCAGAAACACGACAAAGCUGGCUGGGACAAAGGACACUGCAAAGAUGACCCAGAUGGACAUGAGGAUUUCCACUUGACAUGCUCUUCCUAGGAAGAGAAAAUAAGGAUCUGAGGGGUCAUGGAUGCAAUUGAGGAUUCAGUCAAGGACACACACAUGCAUACAAAUUCACAUGAAUAUCUGAAGAACAGCUCAGAAGAAGACAUCUAUUCAAUAAAUAAAAUAAAAUUAUUUUAUUCCAAGUUAAAACAUCAUUGUCAAGUCAAAAAACCUGACAAUUCAAAUGCAAAACUGAUUUCUCUGGGUUCAGAAGAGUCCAGCACUAAAGUGAAACUGUUGAAAGGAGUCUGAGAGACCCAAUGGUAUUCACUGUUUUUGAUCUUGUAAGAGCAGCAGGUUAUAAAUUCUCAUACGCACGAAGGACUGGUUUGGUCUGAAAACUUAUUAAUGCAAAAACAUUAGUGUGAAACUACUCAAAUAAGUUAAAUUCUUCUGGCUGUAAGUAAACUGGGAAACGGUGUAAAGUGUAUCAACCUCACAGAAAAAUUCUAGCAAAUUCUUGGUAUAAGAAUGCUCUUAUGCCCAUUACACAGGGUCUUCUAUAAAAUUCCUAGUGACCUGUAUUGAUAUUCUGUAGGAGAUAAGCAGAAACAAUAAUUUCCAUGCUCAAUAUACCUGAUCUACACUUCCAAGUAUUAAUUGUAACUCAGUCUUGACUGGCAUAAGAGCACUAAAUGCCAGUGAUGGCUUUGUAUUUAAGAGUUGUAAACAGUAAACUGUUAGGUGAUCAUAUUUACCUGCAAGCUACUCCCAUGGAUCAGCACUCUGGGUCCAUUUUUCUGACAUGUCUUGGGAUGUAUACUGUACCUUGCCCAGCUUUAAGUGUUUCUUCACUUCCUCAAUGACAUCCUUAACAUGACUCAAAGGAAUUGAUGGAGAAUUACUGAUACCCUGGGAAACCCACCAUACCUAAAAUGAUGGCCUGACAAUAAAAUCCAUGUGGAACACAGCAUUACUCGCAGCAGGCACAGGAUGAGUAUGUACCUACUCCAUUUAAGUAGAGUCCUUCUACAAAGGAAGUCCAAAUUCAGAUUUGGUGAAAGUUAUAGCUCAACCUGCUCUAUUGGAUUCUGGCAAUAUCUUAAUUUCUUAUGGUUCCUGCCGAGGGGGCUAACAGAAACUCAAUGGGGAAGGGGAAGGGCCCUGGGCUUGAUUACAGACAAAGUUAGACAUCUGAGAUGUUGAGGAAAGAAGGCUCACUCAUCUCACAGAUACUCCAGCCAUGGUGGCUCAGGCCUGAACUUGGGUCUCAAGGCAAACAAAUGAGGAGUCAGGAUGAACAGUGAGGGACACUGACUAGAGAGGCCUGAAGGGCUUAUAUACAGGCCUAACAUGAGGGCCCCUGUAGGGGUCUGAGACUGCUCUUAAGUUUUGAGGUAGCCAUGUAAGUUAUCUCAUUUUCCAGGAGGUAUGAAUGGAUUUCAACAAUUCUUCCUUCUUUUCUUCCCAAGUCCCACCUGUUCCUUCAAAACUCAGAGCAACAAAUGAGUUGAAAAGCACAGAAAAUAAAUGGUCUUAAUACUAUUUCCUCCAUCCAAAUCCUUCUUGGGUUCAUGUAAAAAGCCUGGAAAACUGUAUGUACUAAAGUCCUUAGGACCUUUUGGGAAUCUGAUUCCCAAAGUGUAACUGGGAGAAAAGUAUAACCAGGAUAUGAGACUCAUGUUUCGGAUUAAACCAACUGAAAAACCACCUUAUUUAAUAAUAUACAACUGAACUAGAAGAUUUUUACAUUCAAAGCCACAGGGCUGAAGUAGUCUGGGUCCUAAAAAUACCACACAUAGAAGAGCUGCUUGCCAAUAAGGGAAACCCAUUCUAGAUUCUUAAGAAAUAAGAAAUAAAAUCUUAUUUUGUUUCAAACAGUA